GAUGAACGCUGGCGGCGUGCCUAAUACAUGCAAGUCGAGCGAACGGACGAGAAGCUUGCUUCUCUGAUGUUAGCGGCGGACGGGUGAGUAACACGUGGAUAACCUACCUAUAAGACUGGGAUAACUUCGGGAAACCGUAGCUAAUACCGGAUAAUAUUUUGAACCGCAUGGUUCAAAAGUGAAAGACGGUCUUGCUGUCACUUAUAGAUGGAUCCGCGCUGCAUUAGCUAGUUGGUAAGGUAACGGCUUACCAAGGCAACGAUGCAUAGCCGACCUGAGAGGGUGAUCGGCCACACUGGAACUGAGACACGGUCCAGACUCCUAGGGGAGGCAGCAGUAGGGAAUCUUCCGCAAGGGGCGAAAGCCUGACGGAGCAACGCCGCGUGAGUGAUGAAGGUCUUCGGAUCGUAAAACUCUGUUAUUAGGGAAGAACAUAUGUGUAAGUAACUGUGCACAUCUUGACGGUACCUAAUCAGAAAGCCACGGCUAACUACGU
This 496-nucleotide ribosomal RNA is filed under the name uncultured bacterium. RNAcentral's name for it is "partial 16S ribosomal RNA". It matches the Rfam family "Bacterial small subunit ribosomal RNA", at positions 28 to 506 of the family's 1533-position model. The record is from RNAcentral.